Molecule: long non-coding RNA, 599 nt
Organism: Lutra lutra (Eurasian river otter)
Lineage: Eukaryota; Metazoa; Chordata; Mammalia; Carnivora; Mustelidae
Exons: 4
Source: RefSeq, a predicted model, not a curated record
UGCUCCUUUUCCCCUUCUGGAUUUCUGUUGAAACGCACCGCCCAUACACAGGAAAUCUAACUCCCAAACUUGCCUUUUCUCUUUUCCCUCCCCCAGCCGUCCGUUAGGGAGGACCCGAGCGCGGGCACAGGGACCGAGAGAUCUGGAGGAAACGGGCAGAGGCUGGGGGCCGCGUUGACAAAGGCCGGCAAAGGGCCCGAGCGGCCUCCGGUGCGCGCAGGCCUGUGUUGUGUCAGAUGCUUUGGUCUCCCAAAAGGCCAGGAUUCCCUGGGGGACUCGGACCCACGUGGCGAUGGGCACCUCGGGCGUGUGUGUUGCGUGUGAUGCCUCCGCUCCACACAAAAUGGUGGUGUGACUGCGAACCCGCCGGCGUGGACUUGUAGGAAGGAGAACAAAGUACAACAGUACUCUCAAGAAGAAGAAUCCACAUUCAAAGUCCAGAAAGCAACAGGACAAAGUUACUAUCCGGAAAGCCACCCAAACAGACCAAUGAGCCGAACCUCUGCUCCCCGGCGUUGCCGGACUCCGGGCAGCACCCGAUGUGGACCCAUCGCGUUUCCUUCUGGCUCGCGGUAUGAUCCGGUGUACUCGUGUUGUGC